AUUAUACCUAUUUCCACAGAAUAUAUGCUAAAAUUAGAAUGGCAGCAGAAGACCAGCCCUGGUCCCUGUGUAAGAUUGAUACACAUAUGCAAGAAGUACUCCACAGUUUU
RNAcentral lists this small nuclear RNA (110 nucleotides) under Ovis aries (sheep). Lineage: Eukaryota; Metazoa; Chordata; Mammalia; Artiodactyla; Bovidae. The record is from RNAcentral.